Molecule: long non-coding RNA, 595 nt
Filed under: Mytilus galloprovincialis (Mediterranean mussel)
Lineage: Eukaryota; Metazoa; Mollusca; Bivalvia; Mytilida; Mytilidae
Source: RNAcentral
GGGGUUUAAACUAGGGUCAGUGGGGUUACUGGAACCACACAUAUAUUUUUAUUUGGCCUUGUCUCAUUUUUAUUUCAUCAUUUGUCCUUUCGAUUUUUUGGCAUUUUGGACAACUUUGUUUUCCAGUUUUCACUAGAAAUAACUUUGAAGAUGAUAUAAUUUUAUGCAAAUUUUAUUUGCUAUUUUUACAAUGUUAUCAAAAUAGAUCUCAUAAAUAAUGCCUUGAUAUUUACACAGUUGAAUUUUUUUUGGUAGAAAAAAUACAACACAAUUCCUUUGGAUGACAACUACCUAUACAAAUAUGAAUCUCGAAAAAUGUUUGUAUGAAGCAACCAAAAUGGCUGCCUGACAAUACAAAUAAAGAUAAAUCUUGGUCGUUUGUCUGUUUGAAAUGUCCAUGAUUCUGCUGUCUCUAAUGUCAAUCUCUGUGACCUUGAGAAUCUGAAAUAAAAAAUAUUUAGAUGAAAGUUUUGUAAAUUAUAAAACAUGAAAAAUAUGUUGUAAAUCAAGAUAUUUAUCAAGUGCACCUCUAAUAUUUUGGAAUUUAAUUUAUUCCAUAUAAUUUUUAUUUCAAUAGCCUAACUGUUUAAACCGC